This 490-nucleotide ribosomal RNA is filed under the name uncultured bacterium. RNAcentral's name for it is "partial 16S ribosomal RNA". It matches the Rfam family "Bacterial small subunit ribosomal RNA", at positions 28 to 507 of the family's 1533-position model. The record is from RNAcentral.
GAUGAACGCUAGCGGCAGGCCUAAUACAUGCAAGUCGAACGGGAUCCAGAUCAAAGCUUGCUUUGGUUUGGUGAGAGUGGCGCACGGGUGCGUAACGCGUGAGCAACCUACCCUUGUCAGGGGGAUAGCCCGGCGAAAGUCGGAUUAAUACCGCAUGACAUCAUUGAGAGGCAUCUUUCGAUGAUCAAAGAUUUAUCGGACAAGGAUGGGCUCGCGUGACAUUAGCUAGUUGGUAAGGUAACGGCUUACCAAGGCUACGAUGUCUAGGGGCUCUGAGAGGAGAAUCCCCCACACUGGUACUGAGACACGGACCAGACUCCUACGGGACGCAGCAGUAAGGAAUAUUAGUCAAUGGACGGAAGUCUGAACCAGCCAUGCCGCGUGCAGGAAGACGGCCCUAUGGGUUGUAAACUGCUUUUAUACAGGAACAAACGUCGGUACGUGUACCGGUCUGAGUGUACCGUAAGAAUAAGGAUCGGCUAACUCCGUG